Molecule: ribosomal RNA, 254 nt
Filed under: uncultured bacterium
Lineage: Bacteria
Description: partial 16S ribosomal RNA
Rfam family: Bacterial small subunit ribosomal RNA
Source: RNAcentral
UACAGAGGGGGCAAGCGUUAUUCGGAAUUAUUGGGCGUAAAGGGCGCGUAGGCGGUCGUGCAAGUGGAAGGUGAAAUCCCUCGGCUCAACCGAGGAACUGCCUUUCAAACUGCAUGACUUGAGUCCGGGAGAGGUGAGUGGAAUUCCCAGUGUAGCGGUGAAAUGCGUAGAUAUUGGGAGGAACACCAGUGGCGAAGGCGGCUCACUGGACCGGAACUGACGCUGAGGCGCGAAAGCGUGGGGAGCAAACGGGG